CCCGUUUCUGUGGUUUUGAACCAAUUGAAAUGUCUCGAUGUAGAAACUAGACUGGAGUCCAUCGAGAUUCUAGACACCACAUUAAGUAGACUUCUUACCAGGCGAGACUUGUAGAAAAUGUCCACUAGAAGAUCCUCUUCAUCUUAUGUGUCUAACGUCCAUCAAGGCUACAAGAGACUGGCUCGUAUGUCAGCAGAAUCGGAAAAAUUCUCGAGCAAAUAUUCCGACGCUGAUAGUGAAGAUCUGUUUAAACCCAAGAUACUAACAAACGUGGUCAGAGAAGAGAAGAUUCAAACCAUUAACCAGCGAGUCACUCGACCAACAGCCAACUCACUUCGUCUGCCACCAUUUCAUUCCCAGGAUCAGAUGAAACCUUUUCUUGAUUGUUGCUUUCUAACGGAAGCUGACUGGACACUCGAAGAAAACCUGUAGUAGUUGCAGUCCUCUGCUUGAUACCAGUGCAGCACUGACGUACAUCAUUUCACAGCACGCUAUUACGGGAAACCUGUUCAUAAGAUGUUCAGAGACUCUAAUAUUAGACAAAUGUUCAACAGGGAAAGAAUGUCAAUGUCUACGUCUUUUGACUUGUUCAAGACUUUCACAAGUUAUCUUUAUCAGUUUUUGUGUAGACUACUUAUUGACCUCAUUUCACAACUUAUAUCUACUUUGAUCAACAGAAUGCCAGAUCUCUGUCUUGCAUCGUGGCAUUAGGAUAGUGCUGCUCAAUAAAGAUGGCGGUUUAAGGGAAGAAAAUAGACAGAAGACGGCAAGAUGUCCCAAUAACAUCGGCUCUAGACCAACAGCCCAUGGAUGUUCGCGUCCAGUCUAUAACAAGUUAUGGACUCAUCCCAGUAAGGACAGCUAUGAACGGAAGUGGCGAUCACAUGCCCGAACUCUGACAAGUGACUUUUUGCCUGCUGGCCAUCUGGGUAAAUCUUACUCUCUCUACAAGUUGUCAACUCAAGAGAAGUCCAGACUUGGUCAACGGCGAGCAUUUUAAGGAAGAAAUAUUCACAUGUAAAAGAUGGGUCAUGUUUCUGAAUCAUCAUUUAGUUGCAUCAUUUUAUAUCAGAAUCAAUAUUCUAACUUAAAACUGAAUAUCAACAUUUUAGAUUCAACAGAGUCAACGUCUGUGAACAUCAUUCCUCAAAAUAACAAUUUUGAAUCAAAUCAAUUCCAAUCAAAUUCGAACUCAACAUGAACCAUCAAGAAAACCAAAAUGUCCGCUGUGAUGUACUCAAACAUAUUGCUCUGUACUGCUAUGUGUCUACAUUAAAGUGUCAGCGGGUCUA
Molecule: RNA transcript, 1292 nt
Organism: Biomphalaria glabrata
Lineage: Eukaryota; Metazoa; Mollusca; Gastropoda; Planorbidae
Exons: 6
Source: RefSeq, a predicted model, not a curated record